UACGGGGGGGUAAGCGUUGUUCGGAAUUACUGGGCGUAAAGGGCUCGUAGGCGGCCAACUAAGUCAUACGUGAAAUCCCUCAGCUUAACUGGGGAACUGCGUGUGAUACUGGAUGGCUUGGAUUUGGGAGAGGGAUGCGGAAUUCCAGGUGUAGCGGUGAAAUGCGUAGAUAUCUGGAGGAACACCGGUGGCGAAGGCGGCAUCCUGGACCAAUAUUGACGCUGAGGAGCGAAAGUGUGGGGAGCGAACAGG
Molecule: ribosomal RNA, 252 nt
Filed under: uncultured bacterium
Lineage: Bacteria
Description: partial 16S ribosomal RNA
Rfam family: Bacterial small subunit ribosomal RNA
Source: RNAcentral